UGAUGUGCUCAGUAAUAUUUAGAUUUUUAUAGUUAUACACAUUUAUGGUUUUAAGAAGGCGCCUUUGUUGUUGAAUUUCCUUCCGAAACAGUAAUGUUAUAGAUCUGAAACUCCUAUUUUUUUUUUUUGUGGCUCCUGCAAGAUUUCUCAGGAAUGCAACUAUCACAUUAUGCCAAAAUAAACAAUUGAGAUUAUGGGACUAUUAAUUUGAUCUUGGGGAACUAUUUCAAGCAUUCUGUUGUUCACAGUGCACUCUAUUUACCAACAUAGGUAAAAGCAAGCCCUUUGCUAUUUAUUUCAGUCAUUGCUUGCUUACACUAUAUGAUAUGGUUUGAAUAUGGUGUCUCUCUAAAAUUAAUACUUUAGAACUUAACCCCCAAGGCAGUAGGUAUUCAGAGGGAGGGCAUUUGGGGAAGUGAUAGCUUUAAUUCUCCUAUGAAAGAGAUUUCAGAGAGAUCUCUCCCAUUCCCUUUAUCUUUUCUGCCCAACGAGGACAUAUCCUACCCACUUCCAGCAAUCCAAACAACAGACUGUCAUUUUCACAAGUGGGAAAACAAGCAGAAGAAGUUAGGUGAGAUGGUAACGUCACACAGAUAAUGAGAGGCAGAGCCAGGAUUAGAACAGGAGCAAUUGAGCCCGCAGUCUAACGUAAUGCCUCUCCUGAUGCCAAUUUGUAAGGAACAGCCUUCUUCAGUUCAGAUGUAUUGAAACUGAAGAGGAAUAUGGGCAUGGGAAUAUGUACCAGGUAGUAGGGACAGGAAUCUAAAAUUCAGAGAAUUGUCAAGAUCAGGAUCUAGAAUUGAAUGCCUCAUAAAUCUCACUCGGUUAACUUAAUAUUAAGUUAUAACUUAAUAACUUAAUAUUCACAACACUUCAUUACUGAAUCUGAGAUUCAGAUUUAACCCAUUGAUUUUACACAACUCAGGAAGUAUAUGGGAGCAGCAAUCAAAAUUAUACAGAUUUUCAGACUCCUUGAAAAGAAUGUUGAGACACUUUGUCACCAAACCUCUCAUAGUUGUUGAAUUCUGCUUAUCUUUCGCUUUCUUAUGUAUUCCAAUAAUUUGCUUGUGGGCUGUAUUGAUUUCCAUUUGGUUUAGUAAAUCAGGAGGCUUGUUAAAGUUCCAACCUUUACCAAGUGUUUUAUGAUUCUAAAAUUCUCAAUAUUGCAACAUGCCAAAGAAAUAUUAUGAUGAGUUCAGAUAUCUAUACACACCACAGGAAAUUAAAGAGCUGAAUAGCAUUGUCAUUAAGAGAAUGAGCUUUGAAAAAAUGACUGGGUUUAGAUCUCAACUCUGACAUUUUUAAGUUUUCUGACUGUGAGCAUGUUAUUUUCUGCCUCUAAUGACACUCCUCAUGGGAAGUUUUAAGAUUUAGGAGGGAUGACACAUGCAUGUCACUUCUCACUAUUCCCAUCGAAGAAGUCAGUAAAUCUUGGAUUUAUUAUCUCCUCUCUGAAUGCUUACAAAUUUUGUGAACCUCUAUACUGGCAAAAAUUACCAAAAAAUGCAUUUCCCUAAAAUUAUUUAAUACAAAUAUCUUCAAGAGAUGUGUUUGACAGAACACUUUAAUAUUUAAUUAACGACAACCUUGGAGAAGGAAAAUAUAAUACUAGCACAAACAAUUCAUCACAUCCAAAACAAAUACAAGGCAAACUCCUACUAGGUGUUUAUACAUACAUAAUGUGUUGAGUUAGGUAAUCACGAACUCACUGCUUUAGAUUUAAUCAGCCACUACAUCAAGAGAUAAUUGUUGGAAAGUUUUGAUUGGCAUUUUAAAUGGUUUCCCUUUGGUAAGGUGGGCAGUAUAUUAAAACCCAGCAGAUAAACAUUGGAUUGAAUAGAAUUCUACCUCAUAACUUUAGAAAUGUACAUAUAUAACUAUGAAAGAAAUAGAGCUUUUAAAAGUGCCAAUCUUUAUAGUGACAGAUGCUAUGUGUUUGUAUAGCCAAGUUUUAAAAGUCCUACCUAGUGCAAAAUGGUUCCCUCUAUGGAGAUUUUCCUAGGUCUUUAUAAAGGUCCAAUUGUUGUUCAUGUCUACCAUGAUGACUCUAUUUAUAAAUCAGUAGGAGAUUCAAAAUUAACAGUUUUUUGCACACACAUUAUCUGUUGAAAUUUACAUAAAUAUCUAAUUUAAUAUUCACAAAAAUAGUAUGGGGUAAGUUAUAGUAUCUCCAGAUCCCGAGGAGGAAAUCAAAACUUAGAAAGAAAUUACUUAGUGUCACAAGGCUUUUAAGUGAUGAACUAGGAAUACAAACUCAAAUCUUUUUUGAUCUUAAAGCCCUUGUCUUUCAGAUCAUAGUGCCUCAUGAAAACCAUUGAUCAAGCUUCUCACUUGAGGAAACAGCUUUUGGAUAUUUUAUUGGAGGAAGACACUGCUGAUUAUAGGGAUAUUAUUUAAACAUGAUUUAAACUGAUUUUGAUAAAUUAUUUUUUAGGUUCCUGGAAGGCAUAAGUAAUAAGACUCCUUAGUAAAGUGUUUAUGUGGUAGGUGGCUCAGAGUGUGUGCUGCUGCUUUGGAAUCUAAAAGUUCAAGAAGGCUUUGAAGCUUGAUUUUACAGAAAGAACACUAUUCUUAGACUAAUUACUGGAAUUUGGAUAAAAUUAAAAUUCUGCGCUGGAGGUGUAGCUCAGUGGUGGAGCACUUGCCUGGCAUAUGAAUAAAAACUAGGCCCAGCACACUCAGAAUAUCCUCCAAAUGACUCAUAAAUAAUGUGGAAAUCAACAUGGGUUGGUGAAGAUCAGAGUAUUGUAAAUGGCUUAACCUGAAUUUUGACAUUUGUAUAGUAAUCAUAUAAAUGAAUUAGAAAGAAACAUACUAAAAGAAGUUUUAGUAGGAAUAAAUGGAAGUGUUUGCCCUCAAUUAAAAAGAAUAUAGACAUUCAUGUGCAUAAAUUUAAAUGUGCAAAUAUCCAGAGGUUUGUUUUAUUCCUGAUCUUAUUCUACCAUAUUACUUAUUACAAAUUAUUUAUUAUUUUUAUAAUACCAAGAAUAUCAGGAGUUUUUUUUAACUGCUAUAAUUUUGCCCAUCUUAGUACCAAACAAGAAAUAUAAAAUUUGAAGGCAGCAGCCCUGUUAUUUUAAAUUAGGUAUUCCUUUUGCUGUUAAACAUUCUUUAAUGUGGAGUACCUGUUUUCAGAAUAAUGUGUUUAAAUGCAUAAAAUAUAUGUGAUUAUUUUAAUUUUUUGAAAUACAUUUAUCAAAAUAUUUUUAAAAUUUGUGACAUGUUUUUUUUAUUAAUGCUUUAAACCAAAAGAUCAGCAGCAGUCUAAUAGCUACUAUAGUUUUGAAU
RNAcentral lists this long non-coding RNA (3288 nucleotides) under Marmota monax (woodchuck). The record is from RNAcentral. Lineage: Eukaryota; Metazoa; Chordata; Mammalia; Rodentia; Sciuridae.